This 253-nucleotide ribosomal RNA is filed under the name uncultured bacterium. RNAcentral's name for it is "partial 16S ribosomal RNA". It matches the Rfam family "Bacterial small subunit ribosomal RNA", at positions 524 to 776 of the family's 1533-position model. The record is from RNAcentral.
UACGUAGGGCGCAAGCGUUGUCCGGAAUUAUUGGGCGUAAAGAGCUCGUAGGUGGCUUGUUGCGUCUGCCGUGAAAGCCCGUGGCUUAACUACGGGUCUGCGGUGGAUACGGGCAGGCUAGAGGCUGGUAGGGGCAAGCGGAAUUCCUGGUGUAGCGGUGAAAUGCGCAGAUAUCAGGAGGAACACCGGUGGCGAAGGCGGCUUGCUGGGCCAGUUCUGACGCUGAGGCGCGAAAGCGUGGGGAGCAAACAGG